AAGCCAUGGUGAAGGCACCUUCUCAAUAAAUCCUUAUACCUCUCCCAUGCAUGAUAUAGGGUCUCUAAGUCCAUUUGCACAAAGGAAGAGAUAUCACUCUACAACUU
Molecule: non-coding RNA, 107 nt
Organism: Gossypium hirsutum (cotton)
Lineage: Eukaryota; Viridiplantae; Streptophyta; Magnoliopsida; Malvales; Malvaceae
Source: Rfam